UGGGUCUUUGCGGGCAAGAUGAGGGUGUUGGUUCAACUGGCCUACAAAGUCCCAGU
This 56-nucleotide microRNA precursor is filed under the name Tupaia belangeri chinensis (Chinese tree shrew). RNAcentral's name for it is "Tupaia chinensis (Chinese tree shrew) microRNA tch-mir-193a precursor (tch-mir-193a-1, tch-mir-193a-2)". Its record names the gene tch-mir-193a-1. It matches the Rfam family "mir-193 microRNA precursor family", at positions 10 to 68 of the family's 76-position model. Lineage: Eukaryota; Metazoa; Chordata; Mammalia; Scandentia; Tupaiidae. The record is from miRBase by way of RNAcentral.